Molecule: ribosomal RNA, 253 nt
Filed under: uncultured bacterium
Lineage: Bacteria
Description: partial 16S ribosomal RNA
Rfam family: Bacterial small subunit ribosomal RNA
Source: RNAcentral
UACGGGGGGGGCAAGCGUUGUUCGGAAUUACUGGGCGUAAAGGGCUCGUAGGUGGCCAACUAAGUCAGACGUGAAAUCCCUCGGCUUAACCGGGGAACUGCGUCUGAUACUGGAUGGCUUGAGUUUGGGAGAGGGACGCGGAAUUCCAGGUGUAGCGGUGAAAUGCGUAGAUAUCAGGAGGAACACCGGUGGCGAAGGCGGUGGUCUGGGCCGGCACUGACGCUGAGGAGCGAAAGCGUGGGGAGCAAACAGG